GGACUUCUGACCGAGUGGUUAAGGUGCUAGAUUCAGGUUCUAGUCUCGAAAGAGGCAAGGGUUCGAACCCCUUGGAGUUCA
This 81-nucleotide transfer RNA is filed under the name Negativicutes bacterium. RNAcentral describes it as "tRNA-Leu". It matches the Rfam family "tRNA". From Rfam's summary of the family: Transfer RNA (tRNA) molecules are approximately 80 nucleotides in length. Their secondary structure includes four short double-helical elements and three loops (D, anti-codon, and T loops). The record is from RNAcentral. Lineage: Bacteria; Bacillati; Bacillota; Negativicutes.